This 327-nucleotide unclassified non-coding RNA is filed under the name Hevea brasiliensis (rubber tree). Lineage: Eukaryota; Viridiplantae; Streptophyta; Magnoliopsida; Malpighiales; Euphorbiaceae. The record is from RNAcentral.
GGAUUGCAAAGCUUUCUGGUGGUGUGGCUGUCAUCAAGGUUGGGGCUGCAACUGAGACUGAGCUUGAGGACCGCCAACUACGUAUCGAGGAUGCGAAGAAUGCAACUUUCGCAGCUAUUGAGGAGGGCAUUGUUCCUGGAGGUGGUACAGCGUAUGUGCAUCUUUCAACUACCGUCCCUGCGAUCAAAGAAACAAUCGAAGACCAUGAUGAGCGCCUUGGUGCAGACAUUAUUCAAAAGGCGUUGGUAGCUCCCGCUUCACUGAUUGCCCACAAUGCUGGAGUGGAAGGGGAAGUGGUAGUUGAGAAGAUCAAGGACGGCGAGUGGG